Molecule: non-coding RNA, 1266 nt
Organism: Pogona vitticeps (central bearded dragon)
Lineage: Eukaryota; Metazoa; Chordata; Lepidosauria; Squamata; Agamidae
Source: RefSeq, a predicted model, not a curated record
ACACCCCAGACUCUCUGGCGUCAGAAGGGGGAGACCGAAUCCCGUGAACCCGGGCAAGGGCCUCGGUCACCAGCUGCAACUGGAAAGGGCUGAGAUUUGUCAUCCCACCUGGAGAGCCAAAGAGGCAUAGCUGAGCCCCUGAGAUUCCAGCUGACUCCUCCCAACCUUGUUUCUGAAUAUACAGUAGUCUUCUCUCCAGUUUAAUAGAUGGGCGUCUGGGUGCCCUGGGAGAAUAUCUGGCCUUCAUCCAACCAUCUAUAUUGCCUGAGAAGACGUGACGGACAGGCCAGAGGCUUUGGUUUACAGAGCGUCUAUCGGCAGCCCAGGGUUAGUUUUCGGAACAAAAAAAUCCAAUGGAGGAGCACUUGGACUGACUAUUAAGUAGAGGGAGACUAUGGAUUCACUUCAGUCUGGGGGAGGGGUCUCAUCAGAGGAGAGGAAAUUGUUAUUUAAGUUGUUGUUGUUGUUGUCAUUGUCCUCAUCCUGUUAGAAUGAUAGGGGAUACUUUGCCUGCUGUGUAGCUUGACUUGGGUGAGUAAGACGGGGAGGGGCUGCCUUGGCUGCCCUGCCCUGAGCCAGCAGGAUGCCUUCUGCAAUGCCGAAGGGACAGGAGAGGCUGGUACAAGUGUUGUUAGGGACUACACCCUAUGGACUUGCUGAGGUCUUUUGUUGUGCUUUUCAUGAAUUUAAUGCAUUUUAGUAUGUUUUAAUGUAACACGCUGUACAUGGGGAUUCCCUUGAAGCUGACCCAGAGACUGAGCAGCUUGAAAAUGCGGUGAGAGUAAAUUUUGACCCCCUCUCCCCAGUUUGGGCUCUCUUGCACGGGCUACUUGUGAUGUCCUGGGUCAAGUUCAAUGUUUCCACCUAUAAAGCGCACCACGGUUUGGGAUCACAUUACUUCUUGGAGGGUCUUUCCCCAAGGUCCUCCACCUGCACCUCCAGGCCCUCCCAGACCAUGUUCCUCUGGGUGUCCACACCGAAGGAGGCCAGGAAAACAUGACCUAGAAGUUGGCCCUUCUUGGCUGUGGCACCAGUCCUGUAGAACUGGCUCCCAGUCAAGCUGUGCCUGAUCCGCUCCCUGCCUACCUUCAAGUUGCUUAAGAAAGAUGCACUUCUUCAUUAGGCUUUUGACAGCAAGCAACCUCAUAUGCAUUUGCCACUUGGCCUUCCCGCCCUAUGAUGGGUAACGUUUGUGCUGUCUUGGCUUUGUAAUGUUGUAACCAGUAUGGUUUGUUUUUGAGUUUAUUACUCUUAUAAUUUUAUUGU